Molecule: ribosomal RNA, 245 nt
Filed under: uncultured bacterium
Lineage: Bacteria
Description: partial 16S ribosomal RNA
Rfam family: Bacterial small subunit ribosomal RNA
Source: RNAcentral
CAUGCCGUAAACGUUGGGAACUAGAUGUGGGGACCAUUCCACGGUCUCCGUGUCGCAGCUAACGCAUUAAGUUCCCCGCCUGGGGAGUACGGCCGCAAGGCUAAAACUCAAAGGAAUUGACGGGGGCCCGCACAAGCGGCGGAGCAUGCGGAUUAAUUCGAUGCAACGCGAAGAACCUUACCAAGGCUUGACAUAUACCUGAAAAGGCUAGAAAUAGUCUCCCCGCAAGGCAGGUAUACAGGUGG